This 120-nucleotide small RNA is filed under the name Xenorhabdus nematophila. RNAcentral's name for it is "t44 RNA". It matches the Rfam family "t44 RNA". From Rfam's summary of the family: This family consists of a number of bacterial RNA genes of between 135 and 170 bases in length. Lineage: Bacteria; Pseudomonadati; Pseudomonadota; Gammaproteobacteria; Enterobacterales; Morganellaceae. The record is from RNAcentral.
CUCAUUAUGUGUAAAUAACACACACGGGUCGACACAUACACCGGGGUGCUCUCAUGCGACUAAUCCUAUGAAGAGUCCGCAGCCAAAGAGUCGGUGUCAUGGGACUUGUGGAGGCAUAAC